GAGUUUGAUCCUGGCUCAGGACGAACGCUGGCGGCGUGCUUAACACAUGCAAGUCGAACGGAGUUCCUUGGAAAGAGAUUUCGGUCAAUGGAAGAGGACACUUAGUGGCGGACGGGUGAGUAACGCGUGAGGAACCUGCCUCUCAGAGGGGGACAACAGUUGGAAACGACUGCUAAUACCGCAUAAUAUAUCUGUAUCGCAUGGUAUGGAUAUCAAAGAUUUAUCGCUGAGAGAUGGCCUCGCGUCUGAUUAGCUGGUUGGUAGGGUAACGGCCUACCAAGGCGACGAUCAGUAGCCGGACUGAGAGGUUGGCCGGCCACAUUGGGACUGAGAUACGGCCCAGACUCCUACGGGAGGCAGCAGUGGGGAAUAUUGGGCAAUGGGCGCAAGCCUGACCCAGCAACGCCGCGUGAAGGAAGAAGGCUUUCGGGUUGUAAACUUCUUUUAAGAGGGAAGAGCAGAAGACGGUACCUCUUGAAUAAGCCACGGCUAACUACGUGCCAGCAGCCGCGGUAAUACGUAGGUGGCAAGCGUUGUCCGGAUUUACUGGGUGUAAAGGGCGUGCAGCCGGGAGUGCAAGUCAGAUGUGAAAUCCCGCGGCUCAACCGCGGAACUGCAUUUGAAACUGUGCUUCUUGAGUGCUGGAGGGGCAGACGGAAUUCCUAGUGUA
RNAcentral lists this ribosomal RNA (670 nucleotides) under uncultured bacterium. RNAcentral's name for it is "bacterial SSU rRNA". It matches the Rfam family "Bacterial small subunit ribosomal RNA", at positions 9 to 677 of the family's 1533-position model. The record is from RNAcentral.